This 50-nucleotide ribosomal RNA is filed under the name Urobatis jamaicensis (yellow stingray). Its description in RNAcentral is "partial 5.8S ribosomal RNA". The record is from RNAcentral. Lineage: Eukaryota; Metazoa; Chordata; Chondrichthyes; Myliobatiformes; Urotrygonidae.
UUUGCGGCCCCGGGUUCUUUCCGGGGCUACACCUGUCUGAGGGUCGCUUG